This 375-nucleotide ribosomal RNA is filed under the name uncultured bacterium. RNAcentral describes it as "partial 16S ribosomal RNA". It matches the Rfam family "Bacterial small subunit ribosomal RNA", at positions 338 to 710 of the family's 1533-position model. The record is from RNAcentral.
CCUACGGGUGGCAGCAGUGAGGAAUAUUGGUCAAUGGGCGUAAGCCUGAACCAGCCAAGUCGCGUGAGGGAUGAAGGUUCUAUGGAUCGUAAACUUCUUUUAUAGGGGAAUAAAGUGCGGGAUGUGUCCCGUUUUGUAUGUACCUUAUGAAUAAGGAUCGGCUACCUCCGUGCCAGCAGCCGCGGUAAUACGGAGGAUCCGAGCGUUAUCCGGAUUUAUUGGGUUUAAAGGGUGUGUAGGCGGCCUUUUAAGUCAGCGGUGAAAGCCUGUGGCUCAACCAUAGAAUUGCCUUGGAAACUGGGAGGCUUGAGUACGUUAGAGGCAGGCGGAAUGCGUGGUGUAGCGGUGAAAUGCGUAGAUAUAACGCAGAACCCC